CAUAAAUGGAAACCAAAGUGGGCUUGGAACAGAGCAUUGAACAUGGCGCAAAAAAAAAUUAACAUAAAACUAACGGGGGAAAAGCAGUGAAUCCUCUGGCUGUGGAAAACCGGUUAACAAGCUGGAAGAACUGGCAAGAACUCAGAUAUACCGAGGCCUAAUGGCGCCAACGACGAUUACUGAAAACAUAGACAUUAAAUGCAGAGGAAGUGACAUUAAUUGCAUUGAUUUAGCAGGGCCCUACAGCCUACAGCCAACCAACCGAUAAAAGUUGGCCUAUCCAUCUCCAUUAUAGAGUACUUGCCAAUAGGGCAACGAAUUUCCGGGACAAGAAAUUAUAAAACCGAAAUGGGAAACAUGAACAUUACGCACCCAUUGCGUAUGCACUUCCAAUUAUUUGAAAUUGUUGCUAAUGAGAAAUUAAUUUGCAAAAUGCUAAUCAAGCGGCGGCAGUUGCUAUCGCUGGUCUGGUUGCUGGUCAGCAUUCUCCAUUCUAAUUCCAACAAAUUGCCAUCGAAGCUGGCUGGCUGGGCAACGGAUCGAAGUGAUUUAAUUAAGACUGCCGGUCAGACAGUUGCACGAGUUUCCCAAUUUUGGCAUCGAUCCCGCUUGGACUCUAAU
Molecule: unclassified non-coding RNA, 621 nt
Filed under: Drosophila ananassae
Lineage: Eukaryota; Metazoa; Arthropoda; Insecta; Diptera; Drosophilidae
Description: GF26281
Source: RNAcentral